GGUACUUGUACCGACUGGAUGAGCAGCGAACGGGUGAGUAACGCGUGGGGAAUCUGCCUUUGAGCGGGGGACAACAUUUGGAAACGAAUGCUAAUACCGCAUAAAAACUUUAAACACAAGUUUUAAGUUUGAAAGAUGCAAUUGCAUCACUCAAAGAUGAUCCCGCGUUGUAUUAGCUAGUUGGUGAGGUAAAGGCUCACCAAGGCGAUGAUACAUAGCCGACCUGAGAGGGUGAUCGGCCACAUUGGGACUGAGACACGGCCCAAACUCCUACGGGAGGCAGCAGUAGGGAAUCUUCGGCAAUGGACGAAAGUCUGACCGAGCAACGCCGCGUGAGUGAAGAAGGUUUUCGGAUCGUAAAACUCUGUUGGUAGAGAAGAACGUUGGUGAGAGUGGAAAGCUCAUCAAGUGACGGUAACUACCCAGAAAGGGACGGCUAACUACGUGCCAGCAGCCGCGGUAAUACGUAGGUCCCGAGCGUUGUCCGGAUUUAUUGGGCGUAAAGCGAGCGCAGGUGGUUUAUUAAGUCUGGUGUAAAAGGCAGUGGCUCAACCAUUGUAUGCAUUGGAAACUGGUAGACUUGAGUGCAGGAGAGGAGAGUGGAAUUCCAUGUGGU
Molecule: ribosomal RNA, 616 nt
Filed under: Lactococcus lactis
Lineage: Bacteria; Bacillati; Bacillota; Bacilli; Lactobacillales; Streptococcaceae
Description: bacterial SSU rRNA
Rfam family: Bacterial small subunit ribosomal RNA
Source: RNAcentral